GAUGAACGCUGGCGGCGUGCCUAAUACAUGCAAGUCGAGCGAACAGACGAGCAUCUCGCUCCUCUUACGUUAGCGGCGAACGGGGAAGUAACACGUGGCUAACCUACCUAUUAGACUCAGCUAACUUCUGGGAACCGGAGCUAAUACCGGAUAAUCUAUUGAACCGCAUGGUUCAAUAGGUAAUGACGGUUUUGCUUUCACUUAUAGAUGGUUCCGCGCCGCAGUAGCUAGUUGGUAAGGUAACGGCUUACCAAGGCCACGAUGCGUAGCCGACGUGAGAGGGUGAGCGGGCACACUGGAACUGAGACACGGUCCCGACUCCGACGGGAAGGAGCAGUAGGGGAUGGGACGAAAAGGGAGAGAGCCUGACGGUGCAGCGGCGAGGGAGUGAUGAAGGUCUUCGGAUUGGAGAACUCUGCUAUUAGGGAAGAAGAAAAGUGCAAGUAGCUAGGAGCGUCUUGACGGUACCUGUAGAGGAAGCACCGGCUAACUACGUG
This 497-nucleotide ribosomal RNA is filed under the name uncultured bacterium. Its description in RNAcentral is "partial 16S ribosomal RNA". It matches the Rfam family "Bacterial small subunit ribosomal RNA", at positions 28 to 507 of the family's 1533-position model. The record is from RNAcentral.